Molecule: ribosomal RNA, 433 nt
Filed under: uncultured bacterium
Lineage: Bacteria
Description: partial 16S ribosomal RNA
Rfam family: Bacterial small subunit ribosomal RNA
Source: RNAcentral
AACGAACGCUGGCGGCAUGCCUAACACAUGCAAGUCGAACGAGACCUUCGGGUCUAGUGGCGCACGGGUGCGUAACGCGUGGGAACCUGCCCUUAGGUUCGGAAUAACUCCCCGAAAGGGGUGCUAAUACCGGAUAAUGUCUUCGGACCAAAGAUUUAUCGCCUUUGGAUCGGCCCGCGUUGGAUUAGCUAGUUGGUAGGGUAAAAGCCUACCAAGGCGACGAUCCAUAGCUGGUCUGAGAGGAUGAUCAGCCACACUGGGACUGAGACACGGCCCAGACUCCUACGGGAGGCAGCAGUGGGGAAUAUUGGACAAUGGGCGAAAGCCUGAUCCAGCAAUGCCGCGUGAGUGAUGAAGGCCUUAGGGUUGUAAAGCUCUUUUACCCGGGAUGAUAAUGACAGUACCGGGAGAAUAAGCUCCGGCUAACUCCGUG